This 483-nucleotide ribosomal RNA is filed under the name uncultured bacterium. RNAcentral describes it as "partial 16S ribosomal RNA". It matches the Rfam family "Bacterial small subunit ribosomal RNA", at positions 28 to 523 of the family's 1533-position model. The record is from RNAcentral.
GACGAACGCUGGCGGCGUGCUUAACACAUGCAAGUCGAACGAUGAAGCCGGAGCUUGCUCCGGUGGAUUAGUGGCGAACGGGUGAGUAACACGUGAGCAAUCUGCCCUUGACUCUGGGAUAACUGCGGGAAACUGUAGCUAAUACCGGAUACGACACCUUGGGGCAUCCCAGGGGGUGGAAAGAAUUUCGGUCAAGGAUGAGCUCGCGGCCUAUCAGCUAGUUGGUGAGGUAAUGGCUCACCAAGGCGACGACGGGUAGCCGGCCUGAGAGGGUGACCGGCCACACUGGGACUGAGACACGGUCCAGACUCCUACGGGAGGCAGCAGUGGGGAAUAUUGCACAAUGGGCGAAAGCCUGAUGCAGCAACGCCGCGUGAGGGAUGAAGGCCUUCGGGUUGUAAACCUCUUUUAGCAGGGAAGAAGCGAAAGUGACGGUACCUGCAGAAAAAGCACCGGCUAACUACGUGCCAGCCGCCGCAGUAA